This is a long non-coding RNA of Quercus lobata, 550 nucleotides long. RefSeq lists it as uncharacterized. The transcript has 2 exons. The record is from RefSeq and is a predicted model, not a curated record. NCBI's taxonomy places the organism in Eukaryota, Viridiplantae, Streptophyta, Magnoliopsida, Fagales, Fagaceae.
CACAGGCAAGUCUCUAUAGAGGAAGGAGAAAGCAUGUAAUGUUUAUUGAAACCAGUGCAAAAGCAGGCUUUAAUAUAAAGGCACUGUUUUGGAAAAUUGCUGCUGCUUUACCAGGAAUGGAAACACUCUCUUCAACAAAGCAAGAAGACAUGGUUGAUGUGAACUUGAAGUCUACUAGUGGUGGUGCAACACAAUCCCAGCCCCAGUCAGGUGGAUGCUCUUGUUGAGUGCGGCAUUGUUUUAAAAUUUCGAGCAACUAUGCUCUAUUUCUUGCUGUUUGGGUUUUCAGCCAUCUUCACCCCAGAUCUGUAAAGGUUUCACUUAGAUUCUUUUUUCCUUCAAAAUACUUCUUAUCGGUUAUAAUCGUUACUGCAUUGCUUGGGAAAUUCUCUUAGGGAACACAUGGGUCUGAAGAGCUAGGUGUAGAACUAGCAUUGGGGAAUUUGUUGUGUUGGUUAGAUGGUCAUAACCUCUGAGAUAUUUAGUAAGAUUUAUUGACUUGAAUAGAUUUUGGUAUUAAGCAUUUGUAAAAUGAAUAUUGGGUACAUUC